GUGGUAAUUCUAGAGCUAAUACAUGCUAAAAACCUCAACUUCGGAAGGGGUGUAUUUAUUAGAUAAAAAACCAAUGCCCUUCGGGGCUCCUUGGUGAUUCAUAAUAACUUAACGAAUCGCAUGGCCUUGCGCCGGCGAUGGUUCAUUCAAAUUUCUGCCCUAUCAACUUUCGAUGGUAAGAUAGUGGCUUACCAUGGUCUCAACGGGUAACGGGGAAUUAGGGUUCUAUUCCGGAGAGGGAGCCUGAGAAACGGCUACCACAUCCAAGGAAGGCAGCAGGCGCGCAAAUUACCCAAUCCCAAUUCGGGGAGGUAGUGACAAUAAAUACUGAUACGGGGCUCUUUCGGGUCUCGUAAUUGGAAUGAGUACAAUCUAAAUCCCUUAACGAGGAACAAUUGGAGGGCAAGUCUGGUGCCAGCAGCCGCGGUAAUUCCAGCUCCAAUAGCGUAUAUUAAAGUUGUUGCCGUUAAAAAGCUCGUAGUUGAACCUUGGACCUGGCUGAUCUGUCCUCCUAAUCGAGCGCACGGAUUCGGUCGGGUCUUUCCUUCUGGGGAGCCCUAUGCCCUUCACUGGGUGUAGUGGGGAACCAGGACUUUUACCUUGAAAAAAUUAGAGUGUUCAAAGCAGGCCUUUGCUCGAAUACAUUAGCAUGGAAUAAUAGAAUAGGACAUCGGUUCUAUUUUGUUGGUUUCUAGGACCGCUGUAAUGAUUAAUAGGGAUAGUCGGGGGCGUCAGUAUUCAAUUGUCAGAGGUGAAAUUCUUGGAUUUAUUGAAGACUAACUACUGCGAAAGCAUUCGCCAAGGAUGUUUUCAUUAAUCAGUGAACGAAAGUUAGGGGAUCGAAGACGAUCAGAUACCGUCGUAGUCUUAACCAUAAACUAUGCCGACUAGGGAUCGGACGGUGGUUUUUUUAU
This 914-nucleotide ribosomal RNA is filed under the name Exophiala opportunistica. Its description in RNAcentral is "SSU rRNA". It matches the Rfam family "Eukaryotic small subunit ribosomal RNA", at positions 149 to 1072 of the family's 1831-position model. Lineage: Eukaryota; Fungi; Ascomycota; Eurotiomycetes; Chaetothyriales; Herpotrichiellaceae. The record is from RNAcentral.